GCCUGACUAGCUCAGUUGGUAGAGCAUGAGACUCUUAAUCUCAGUGUCCUGGAUUCGAGCCCCAUGUUGAGUG
This 73-nucleotide transfer RNA is filed under the name Neotoma lepida (desert woodrat). It matches the Rfam family "tRNA". From Rfam's summary of the family: Transfer RNA (tRNA) molecules are approximately 80 nucleotides in length. The record is from Rfam by way of RNAcentral. Lineage: Eukaryota; Metazoa; Chordata; Mammalia; Rodentia; Cricetidae.